Molecule: transfer RNA, 63 nt
Filed under: Anaerotruncus colihominis
Lineage: Bacteria; Bacillati; Bacillota; Clostridia; Eubacteriales; Oscillospiraceae
Also listed under: 6 other names
Rfam family: tRNA
About the family: Transfer RNA (tRNA) molecules are approximately 80 nucleotides in length. Their secondary structure includes four short double-helical elements and three loops (D, anti-codon, and T loops).
Source: RNAcentral
CGUUGGUCAAGCGGUUAAGACACCGGCCUCUCACGCCGGUAACGCGGGUUCGAUUCCCGCACG